Molecule: ribosomal RNA, 466 nt
Filed under: uncultured bacterium
Lineage: Bacteria
Description: partial 16S ribosomal RNA
Rfam family: Bacterial small subunit ribosomal RNA
Source: RNAcentral
GACGAACGCUGGCGGCGUGCUUAACACAUGCAAGUCGAACGGAAAGGCCCAGCUUGCUGGGUACUCGAGUGGCGAACGGGUGAGUAACACGUGGGUGAUCUGCCCUGUACUCUGGGAUAAGCCUGGGAAACUGGGUCUAAUACCGGAUAUGACCAACUGUCGCAUGGUGGUUGGUGGGGAGCUUUUGCGGUGUGGGAUGGGCCCGCGGCCUAUCAGCUUGUUGGUGGGGUAAUGGCCUACCAAGGCGACGACGGGUAGCCGACCUGAGAGGGUGAUCGGCCACACUGGGACUGAGACACGGCCCAGACUCCUACGGGAGGCAGCAGUGGGGAAUAUUGCACAAUGGGCGCAAGCCUGAUGCAGCGACGCCGCGUGAGGGAUGACGGCCUUCGGGUUGUAAACCGCUUUCACCAGGGACGAAGCGUGAGUGACGGUACCUGGAGAAGAAGCACCGGCCAACUACGUG